This 1184-nucleotide long non-coding RNA is filed under the name Sinocyclocheilus anshuiensis. RNAcentral's name for it is "lncRNA (ENSSANG00000008457.1)". The record is from RNAcentral. Lineage: Eukaryota; Metazoa; Chordata; Actinopteri; Cypriniformes; Cyprinidae.
AAUCCAACCUCAAAGGGAAAUGCCAAAAUAAUUUGAUGAUAUCCUUUUGAUAUGGUUCAAGAUGGCGCCGAGCAUGGCAGCCGUGUUGCGAGCUCCGAGAAAACUCUGCAGUUUUUCGUUUGUUUUACUUGUUAUUUUGUUGUUCUACGUGUUGGAUGUUGUUAGUAUAACUGUCUACGAUAGACACACGCUUUUAAACAUUGGCUCCUACGUCGCGCAACGCAAACCGGACUUUGAGUUCUUGAACGCCGGCGCUCUGUUUACAGACACCGCAUCAGAGCCCUUUGUCUGGGCCGCACGGUCGCGACCGAGGAAACGCCGCCGGAAAAGGGGGAAGAGAGCCGGCGUCCUUGUCAGACUCAGACGUCGUCCCCUCCGACCUCCUCUCCCAACCAUUUUGCUGGCUAACGUUCAGUCACUGGACAACAAACUCUGUGAACUGCGGGCACGCAUCUCAUACCAACGAGAAACAAGGGACUGCUGCAUUAUUUGCCUCACAGAAACCUGGAUGUCUGCAGAGGUUCCAGACUCAGCCAUCGAGCUUACGGGGUUCUCCGUGCACCGCUCGGACAGAACAAAAGAGCUCACAGGGAAAAGCAGAGGUGGGGGCGUUUGUUUCUUUAUCAACCGCUCGUGGUGUGAUGAGAGGAACCUACACUCUAUUAAAUCCUUCUGCUCCCCUGAUCUGGAAUUUCAUAUGCUUCUGUGUCGACCAUUCUGGCUACCGAGGGAAUUUACAGCGAUCAUAAUCACAGCUGUUUACAUUCCCCCUCAAGCCAACACAGACCAGGCACUCAAGGAACUGUAUGGGAAUAUAAGUGAGCAGGAAACCGCUUACCCAGAUGCGGCGUUUAUUGUUACGGGGGACUUUAACAAAGCCAACUUCAGAACAAUAACUCCAAAAUAUUUUCAACACAUCACCAUCAACACACGUGGUGAUCGUGCACUGGACCACUGCUACUCUCCUUUCCGGGACGCCUACAAAUCCCUCCCCCGCCCACCUUUCGGCAAAUCGGAUCACUCUUCCAUUCUGCUCCUGCCUGCUUAUAGGCAGAAACUGAAACGGGAAGCACCCGCCCUCAGGACAAUUCAAUGCUGGUCGGACCAAUCAGACGCUAUACUACAGGACUGUUUUGAUCACGUGGACUGGGACAGUGCUGUGGUGAUGUGACAAUAAAAGUGAC